AUGUCGGGGCGGAAGGAGACGGUGCUGGACCUGGCCAAGUUCGUCGACAAGGGCAUCCAGGUCAAGCUCACCGGCGGCAGGCAAGUUACAGGAACUUUGAAGGGCUAUGACCAGCUUCUGAACUUGGUGCUUGAUGAAGCGAUUGAGUUUGAAAGAGAGCAAGAUGAUCCACUGAAACUGUCGACAAAAACCAGACAGCUUGGUCUCAUUGUCUGCAGGGGCACAGCGGUGAUGCUCGUAUCGCCAACCGAGGGAACAGAGGAGAUCAAAAACCCCUUCCAAGAGGCUGAUGGAGAACAAACCGCUCACUCCUAA
This 315-nucleotide ribosomal RNA is filed under the name Triticum aestivum (bread wheat). RNAcentral's name for it is "partial small subunit ribosomal RNA". Lineage: Eukaryota; Viridiplantae; Streptophyta; Magnoliopsida; Poales; Poaceae. The record is from RNAcentral.